AACGAACGCUGGCGGCAUGCCUAACACAUGCAAGUCGAACGAGACCUUCGGGUCUAGUGGCGCACGGGUGCGUAACGCGUGGGAACCUGCCCUUAGGUUCGGAAUAACUCCCCGAAAGGGGUGCUAAUACCGGAUAAUGUCUUCGGACCAAAGAUUUAUCGCCUUUGGAUGGGCCCGCGUUGGAUUAGCUAGUUGGUAGGGUAAAAGCCUACCAAGGCGACGAUCCAUAGCUGGUCUGAGAGGAUGAUCGGCCACACUGGGACUGAGACACGGCCCAGACUCCUACGGGAGGCAGCAGUGGGGAAUAUUGGACAAUGGGCGAAAGCCUGAUCCAGCAAUGCCGCGUGAGGGAUGAAGGCCUUAGGGUUGUAAAGCUCUUUUACCCGGGAUGAUAAUGACAGUACCGGGAGAAUAAGCUCCGGCUAACUCCGUGC
This 434-nucleotide ribosomal RNA is filed under the name uncultured bacterium. Its description in RNAcentral is "partial 16S ribosomal RNA". It matches the Rfam family "Bacterial small subunit ribosomal RNA", at positions 29 to 508 of the family's 1533-position model. The record is from RNAcentral.